CUCCAGGACAGGGCAUCAAAGAAAGCUAAGUGGCAUAACAUUUCCAUCACGCGCUUGAGUCAUUUGGCCAAUCACAACACACUGGAUAGCUGGCCGAUCAGAGCACACCUCGCUUUUCAGACC
Sinocyclocheilus rhinocerous is the source of this 123-nucleotide long non-coding RNA. RefSeq lists it as uncharacterized. Lineage: Eukaryota; Metazoa; Chordata; Actinopteri; Cypriniformes; Cyprinidae. The record is from RefSeq and is a predicted model, not a curated record. The transcript has 3 exons.